This 253-nucleotide ribosomal RNA is filed under the name uncultured bacterium. RNAcentral's name for it is "partial 16S ribosomal RNA". It matches the Rfam family "Bacterial small subunit ribosomal RNA", at positions 524 to 776 of the family's 1533-position model. The record is from RNAcentral.
UACGGAGGGUGCGAGCGUUAUUCGGAUUUACUGGGCGUAAAACGCGCGUAGGCGGUUCGAUAAGUCUGGUGUGAAAGCCCUGGACUUAAUUCAGGAAGUGCAUUGGAUACUGUCGAACUGGAGUGCAGGAGGGGAGAGCGGAAUUCCUGGUGUAGAGGUGAAAUUCGUAGAUAUCAGGAGGAACAACAGAGGCGAAGGCGGCUCUCUGGACUGCAACUGACGCUAAGGCGCGAAAGCGUGGGGAGCAAACAGG